CAGCCGCCGCGGGAAUACGUAGGGUGCGAGCGUUAAUCGGAAUUACUGGGCGUAAAGCGUGCGCAGGCGGUUAUAUAAGACAGAUGUGAAAUCCCCGGGCUCAACCUGGGACCUGCAUUUGUGACUGUAUAGCUAGAGUACGGUAGAGGGGGAUGGAAUUCCGCGUGUAGCAGUGAAAUGCGUAGAUAUGCGGAGGAACACCGAUGGCGUAGGCAAUCCCCUGGACCUGUACUGACGCUCAUGCACGAAAGCGUGGGGAGCAAACAGGAUUAGAGACCCCAGUAGUCCCUGUCCUUAUACA
Molecule: ribosomal RNA, 301 nt
Filed under: uncultured bacterium
Lineage: Bacteria
Description: partial 16S ribosomal RNA
Rfam family: Bacterial small subunit ribosomal RNA
Source: RNAcentral